Molecule: long non-coding RNA, 31063 nt
Filed under: Zostera marina
Lineage: Eukaryota; Viridiplantae; Streptophyta; Magnoliopsida; Alismatales; Zosteraceae
Description: long non-coding RNA (ZMAR_LNC001437)
Source: RNAcentral
ACAACACCCACAUUCCCUUCCAAAGAUGUCCAACGAUCGACGACGACCAUCUUCCUUCCGCAGGCCUUCCAUUUGCAACUAUCUUUCACAAUCCAAGUAAUAUUUAGGAUUGCAUGGGAUAUAUGCAAAAUUCUCAUAUACUUCAUGAGUUGCCCAAGCUACUUAUGUGAUCGUGUGACCUUCUAUAAAACCUUGGUUAACAUAUCGCAACAUUGUUGUUCAUAGCAUGUGUGCAAAGUUUGUUAAAAAAACAAAAAAGGUAGUUAGUUGAAAUUAAACACAAAACAAACUUAUUUGAAUCAAUCUCCAGUAAUAUUUAUUAAAAAAAAACUCUAAAGAACAUCCUUAGUGUUCAACCAAAAAAAUCAUGUAAUUACAGAUUAAAUUUGUUGUUCAAUAAUGGAAAGAGGAGAAAAACAAUGCAAAGACUAAUUGUACAUAGAUGAAAAAAAACAAUUACUAGGGAGAGUUGAAAAAGAGUUAAACCAAAGUAAAAUGAUGAGUGAGCAAUUGAGAAAAAACAAGUAAAUAAAGAUAGGAUUUUGGGUUUUAGAUUCAAACAAAACUGUCAAUGCACUUCGAUCCUCAUUACAAAAAAUGAUUAUUAUUUUUGAAUGACAUGCCGGAAAUCACCUAAUAUAUUUCAUUAUUACCAGGCGAAUAAGUAAAUAUUAGAAAUAUAACUGACCUCAUGCACUUUUUAUUGUCAUCUAACAACUGAAUUUUCUUUAAAGAAAAAACCGAUCAUCAACAAAAAAAACAAGUGUAUUUAUUAUCUAUCAUCCGAUAAUGACAUGAUAUAGAAAAUUAUACAAAGAAACCAGCGUCUACUGACUUCAUAUGAAGAGAUAAAUCAACCCAUGAAGUUGAAGGGGGAUUGGUAGGCAAAGAUACUCUGGAAAAAGGUAAAAUAAAAUUACAAAAAGUUAUUUUAGAAUAAUAUCACAAAUGCAAAUAUUUAAAUCAGUUUACCACUACUCAUUGUUCAUCAACACCAUCAUCGACAUCCAACGUCGUUGAUCCCAAAUUCACAUCCAUGAUUCCACAUCCUACAAAAUGUGCAUUCAAGUUAAAAUUUUAUAAUUUAUUGUUGACCAUUAAUUAUAUACAGUUAGGAACUUUGGAUCAAUCCCUUCCAACAUGCAAUUGAGCAAUCUAGACAACAUAUCUCCCCUUAGUAUAUGGCAGUCUUCAGAACAUGCAUGAUACACACUGAUAGUACAAGGUCCAACACACAGACCAUAGUACUAAAAGACGUAUCCCAAGGUAUCUAAUACGCAGAGGAAGGGGGAGUACUGGUGAUACAGUAUCCCGAACCCAGUCAUAACCUACCAGCAACUAGAAGUCCGGAUAGCUAAGAUGAGUUAAGGUGCCUAUUCUAGGGUUGGGGAGGUCCCAAGUCGAAUCCUAGGAAGAUCGACUUUCCUGAGGAUCGACUUCCCUGGGAUCGACUUCUGAAUAAAGUCGAUCACCAGGAAAGUCGACUCCCAGAAAGUCGAUCUCUGGAAAGUCGAUCUCUGGCCCCAAUCUGAUCAGUUAGGCAGUUAGGCGGUUACUGUCCAAAUAACCAGAUUACCCCCAUAAGAACCCCUAUAAAUAGGAGGCAUCCCCCACUCAUUAAAGGCAGGUCAUUUAGAGCGAAAGGAUUCCUAGCGAAGCAGAGCUCUGCGCACUUGAGUUCCGGUCCGGUUUCCCGCGGAGUUCCCCGCUUGGCGCUUGCUUGCGCGUCUUGGAGUACUGGUCGGGUUUCACCCCCAUCAGUUGGCGCCGUCUGUGAUUCAAAGAUACUCACGACAAAAGCUCCUCGACUUCUUCGAAAAAAGGGAUCGACUUUUUUCCAAGUCGCCAGCUAGGAAGUUUUGCGAGGAAAUCAGCCAGCAAGGGAUCGACAUUUCAGGAGAUCGACUUUUUCUUCCGAAGAAAAGUCGACCCCUCAAGGAGCUAGGCUUUCGAACAUCGGCUUCCAAGGAAUCCUCCAAGUGCACUAGGGAUCGACUUCUUGAAGAUCGACUUUCCUCUCCAGGCAAAAGUCGAACACUCCUUCCAGGAAAAGUCGAACACUCCAGGAUGGUGGUAACUCGAAGCACUUCUCAAGGAGGAGGAGCGAAUUCUCAGGAGGCGCCAGGGCAACAACCUGGCAACUCAAAAACUAAAAGGCCAGUAGGUCGACCACCUAAGGCCAAUAAAAACAAAAGGACUCCCACAGGACCUGAGACUGAACCCGAAGGGGAACUUGGGCAAACUCCCCAAGCGUCAGCAGGAGGGGAAAAUCUGAACAUCACAGUUCAGGCGAUAGCAGAUGCUAUCCGACUCAUCACUGAAAAACCUUCGGAAGAACAGCCUCAAAGGGAGAAACCCACAAGCAGCAGGGGACCAAGGACUGCUGCAUCAGAAUCCACUCAUGGGUUCAUAAAAGUACCCAUAGAAGAGCUAGAGGAAAUGAAGGAAACCAUAGCAAAAAUGAGCGAGAAGAUAAAGGAUAUUGAAAAAUCUAGGGUAUCAAUAUACCAUACAAAAGCUCAAACCUCAAAGCAGGCCAAGGCACAGCAGGAGGUGUCAAGCCAUAGGGCAGCACACUCCAGCGCACCACUACCUAACAAACUAGAGGGGCAACUCAAACCCUCUUUCAGAAAACCCGUACAGGAAGAAAGUACGGGAGACACAGAAGAAGGAGGUGAGGUCCCAAAUUGGCUGGUAGGCAUGGAUGCUUUGCACAAAUCACUGAUGGUAAAACCAGCACCCCUAAAGUUUAGGCUACCCAGGCUCCAGGUUUACGAUGGGAAAAUGGACCCAGCAGACCACAUAAAUAUGUUCGUAGGGGCAAUGCAGUGGGCCACAUCAAGGGAUGACAUUCUCUGCAGAGCAUUCCCAGGAACACUGAAGGGACCUACAUAUAGGUGGUUCGUCGAACUUCAGCCAGGGAGCAUAACGAAUUUCGAGGACUUGAAAAAGAAAUUCGUCGCCCAACACUGCGGAAACACAAGGGUAAGGAAGGGCACAGAAUCACUGUUUGCAAUCAAACAAAAUGGAGAAACGCUCCGGAAUUAUACAACCAAAUUCACGGAAGCAAUGCAGAAAAUCUCCGAUCUAAACACAACAAUCGCAAUAUGCGCAUAUUCAAAAGGGCUAGACAUGAACACGCCAUUAGCAAUAAAACUAAACGUAAGUAAUGUAAAAUGCAUGGAGGACCUGCUAACAAAGGCCCAAAAAUACAUAAACUCUGAGGAGAAUGAGAAAGAAAAAGAAAAAGAGAGAGGUGUCAUAAGCAACAAAAAAGCGUAUGAAGCACCAAAGAAAAAAUAUCAGAAAUUUGAAAAAGGAGAAUCAUCUUGGAGACCAAAACACGAUGGAAAGGUCUACCAGACAUCUGAGGAGUUUAGAAAACCAAAAUACCCAAGGUAUGGGUUUACGGCUUUCAGCACUCCAAAGGAGGAAAUCUACAGCAAAGAAAAAGGAAGAAUAAGGUUUCCUCAACCAGAAGAAUUAAACCCUGCAACAAAAGAGGCCUGAACAAGGGGGAACAAAUAUUGUAGGUUCCACAAGGACUACGGGCACAAUACAGAAAAUUGCAGGGAGCUGAGCACCUUCCUAGACACACAGGUAAAGGAGGGGAAGCUUAAACAAUACGUAAACAAAGUAGAAAGGGAGCAACAAGGUCGCAGGAACCCAAGUAACAAGGGUAAGCGACAGCGCUCAAAAAGUCCCGACUCAGAUACUGAACAUAAGAGGAGGGUAAUAGAUUAAAUCUUCGGCGGGGGAUCAAUAGGAGAAAGCAGAGCUUCUCUGAGGAAGAUCCGGCCCACACCUAAUUACGCAAGGCAGAACAAUUAAUCAUAUUCACCCUUGCGGUAUUCACAUGGAAUAUAGGGCAGAUUUAAAAGGGUCAAAAACAUCUCAGCUAAUACCCCCAGAGGGGGGGGCAGAGAGAGGCACUAGUUGACUCAUCAUCUAUAUCUCCGUGCAAUCCGAACAUAACACAGGCAGAAUACUGGAAAAAACCCUCAAUAGAAUACAUUGAAAGGUAGGAACUCCCAGAGAACAGGAAUAAAAGGCGUAAACACGCAUUCCAAGAUACUGCCUAGUUGAUAACAUUCAGCAUAAGAAACCUUGCAUCAAGGGAUAUGCAAAAUACAUCAAGGGGGGAGGACCCUAGCCCAAAGAAUAACAAGGUAGAGGCACUUCCGGCCUACACUAAAGAAAGAGGCAAUCUUACCUGCAAGAAAAUGCAAGGUAUGCCAGAUUCACAAAAACAUACGACUAAUAGGGAUAGUAAGCCUCAUCCCUUUCGCAACAUAAGGGAUAAACAGUGUAGGCUAAAUUUAUAUUUAUAGCUGUCGACUACUUUACUGAAUGGGCUAAAGCACUAGCUGUACCCAAAAUAACUCAAGUAAAGUGCAGAUUCGAUAUUCCAAUGCAUAUAGUGACAGAUAACGGUACAUAGUUUACCGGUGGGGAGUUUACGAGAUUAUGCAAGAACAUGGGCAUAUAGAACCACUGAAAAGACACCCACCAAAGAAACCCCGUUCUCACUAGCAUAUGGAAUAAAAGCACUAAUCCCAACAGAGCUAGGCAUUCCAACAGUCAGAAUAUUAUCCUAUGAUACGGAAGAACGUAGUGUUAGACGGGGAACACGUUGGCAAGAGUAAACCUCACCUACGGAAGAACGUAGUGUUAGACGAGGGACGUACUCCAAAGUGAACCCCACCUACGGAAGAAAACAUGAGAUCAUGUGCGAUAACUCUGGACUUAGUGGAUGAGCUUAGGGGUAACGUACAGGCAAAGAAUACAGCUUAUAAACAAAGUAUCGCUAGAUACCACGACAAGAAUGUCAAGGGUAAAGCGAUAAGAAAAGGAAGUCUAGUAUGAAGAAGAGCAAGUGUCGGUAGAAAAGACUGCUCUAAAGGCAAACUAGGCACAAAUUGGGAAGGACCAUGUGUGGUGGAGGAAGAACUCCGACCAGACACGUACAGGUUAAAGCGGGAAGAUGGAACAGGCAUUCCUAAUACUUGGCACGCAGAUAACCUACUGUUGUACUUUUAAAAACAAUUAAGUAGGGUUAUACUCUUGUAAUAGUUUGAACUAUAUAACUAAUACGUUAUUUAGUUAACUAUCAGAACACUUUAAAAUACAACAGUUAACUAUUGUUAGUAAUAAGAAUACUCAAAAAACAUUCCAUAUAUUGAUUUAAAAAAGAAUUACAGAGGAAUGUAAGUUACAACAAAAAGUAGAGAACUUAAUCUAUUUUAGGAAGGGGGGGAAUGUCUUCAGAACCCGCUGCAUCAUUGUUAUCUAUAGAAAAGUCUGUAUCAAUGUCAGCAAGCGCCUGUAGAAUCUCCUCCUCUUCAUUCUCUCUCUCCUCCUCAUCCCUUUCCUCUGCAAGCGCCCGAUCACGAACUUCGGUGGCUUCUUUGGGAUUCUUACAGGCCCAGUCAUGAACAUCUGCGGCUUCAAAGCCCGGGCAAACAUGAGGGCCCAGAUCAACCAAGUCAUUAUAAUCUCGUAGAUUGACGAGAAAAUCGGCUUGGAGUGUCUCCAAGUGGGUGACCACACGUUGACGCUCUUCAAUUGCAAGUCGAGCUUCCUCAGUUGCGCGGUGAGCUUCCGCAGUUACACGGUUGACCACCUCAGUCUUUGCUUGAUCCGCUUCUUCCAGUCGCAUUAUCGUCUUCUUGUAUUCAUCUUGCGACUCCAGCAGCUUCUUGUUCUCCUCAUGAAUCUCUCCCAGUUGGUCGGAGAGUGUGGAGAUCUUUUUCCGAGAAGAAUCAAGGUUAACAUCUUUGUCAGCAAUCAUCGAGUCUUUGAUAAUAACCUUAGCGCGUUCAGCUGCAAGUUCCAACCUCGCAGCUCCCAACUCUCCCCUAAGUUGGGAGAUGUCCUGCUCUUUUUGUUUCAGAGAAUUUCGUUGAGCAGCCCAGUCAUCAGCCAACUUCUUAUUUGUUUCAGACAAGGUCGAGGCGUCUGUAAUCUUCUGUGCAACCUCACCUUCCAGAUCUCGGCAUCGGCGCUUCGCUCUUUUCAACUCGUCUUCCAUGGACUGAGAGUCACGAAGACGAGACAGAGAAGCGAUGCGGCCCUGGAACAAAUGGUUGAGCUGCAAAAAAUAAAUAAAUAAGGACACGCUCAUAAAAAAUAAUUAAAAGAUAAAGGACACUCACGUUGCUUAAAUUUUGUCCAAUCUCUUCAACAACCCGGUCCAUCGGAUACCCAGAGAUAGCUCGCAGUGUGGUACGGGUAGUAUCCGUAUCGGGGGUCAGGGAAGAUUUGGACCCAUAGUUUCGGGGACGCGAUCCUUGAUACCCCGGCAGCUGCGUCUCCCGGGUGGAAGAAUAGUUAAAACGACCCCGGGAGGACUCCCCAGGAUAGUAGGUCUUCUUGCGAAGAGGACUUCGUCGCUUGGGGGAGGGUCUCCUCUUCCUCGGAGGAGACGAGUCAGUCCUGGGGGGAGGAGGAGUUCGUUCCUUUCUUUUCCUCCUAUCAGAGAUCUCUCUCUCUGUAGUUUUCUCAGUCCGCUUAGACUGAGUCUCUUUCUCCUUCUCCGCCUUCUCUCGUUCUUCCUCUGACGGAGUACGGAAGAAGCUAGAAAGCCUCGAGGCAGCAGGAGACUGCUCGGGAGUAGCGUCUUUUGGUACCUCCCCUUCCUCGGUACAUCGGACCUCGUCAGGAGUAGGAAACGUCGCCAUUGUGUAGGCGUUCUCUAGCGCACGCUGCCUCAGAUGAUCAGCGUCAGAAGGUUUGGAGGCAGCGGCAUAGAGUUUAGAACCCGUCUCGUUCUGUCCGACGCGUUCAGGGACACCUCCGGGGUGAUGCAUAUAAAAAUCUGCAAGAAACAAAAACAGAGUUAAAAAAUAUACGUGUAUAAAAAACACAAAAGGUAAACAGACAAAGGAAGACCUUGUCGGCUAAAGGUAUCCUCAAUCGCGUGACAGACAGGCACAGCAAUAGGAUGCAAAAAGGCGAGAUUUUGCACAGAAGCUCCCUCUUCCUCAGUCAAAUCAGGACGAGGAAUAGGCUUACGGCCACUAGUGGAUGCAGGGAGAAGUCUGCUACCAGGGCAUAACCUGCAAUCCACGAAGAUGAACUCACUCUUGUUCCGCCUGGUCGGAGGAUCUUUCAAGAUAGCAGAGUGAGUGACAGAAGUAGAACGGCUGGCACAGGAAAUGAAAAGGCUGCCCUUCUUCGGAUUUUGAAAGAUGAAGAAGUGGAAGAACAGCCGAGCGGUAGGAACUAUGCCAGCAUCCCGAAGGAUAUUUAUGAACCCCCUGACAUAGAAAAAGAAGGCAGCACCCAUUUGAGAGAUGCACGUUCCAGAGUAAAGAAGUAUCUCACUAACGAUAGAAGGGAUCGGAAGAAUCGGAAAGUUGGUGAAAUACACUCGAUGGAGUGCCAACAUGAAGUAGGGGGGCACGUCGCCAGUGUUCUCAGAGGGGUACGCCCAGUACACCCUCUCCCUAAGCUCUAACCCCCUCAAAAUUUUUCGGGCAGCAUCCAAGGAUAAGGUAUUAGAGCAGCUACCUGCGUUAGAAGAAAGGGGGUAGCCCGGAAUAUCAGUCAAAGAGACUGCACAAAAGGAACCAUACCCGGUUCCAUAUUCGCCCCGGUCAAGGAUAGGGACGACGUGGAAACCGUUACGGACAAGAACGGACCACUGACGCCAAGAACCAUCAAUCUCCCGAUAGAAAGAUAGGGCGUGCUUCUCUUCAAGGGGAGAAGGAAAGGGGUAUUUGUCCCUCGUCUCAGGGGGAUAAUCCAAGGGAGACCUCUCUAAAAUAUGAAUAUUUUGACUACGAACCUCGGGAGGAGGUGGAAUGGAACUGUCCGUAGUCAUAGAAAAAACCUCCGAAGUAGGAGUCUCCUCAGGAACAGAAGUCAAUAUAAUAGUGGGAGGAGGAGUCCUAACAACGGAGGGAGGGGUUCCUCCAAUAUCUACAUCCUCUGAGGAAGAAGAAUAAGAGGAGGAACCCGAGCUUCCCGAACCAGAUGUGGAACACUCCGAACUGGAAUGUACGGGGGAAGAAGGGGGAGCACCUACAAACAAAAAAGGAACAAAUAAAAAGUAAGUAAGUUACGAAAUAAAUAAUAAAUAAUCAAACUUACUAGCAGGUACAGGCUUGCGCAUACGACGGGAAAGCAUCUUUUUCUUACUUCCGACAGGUGCGGAAGGAGCAACCUGAACCUGAACAGGAGCAGCCUGAACAGACUCUGGUUGAGUAGGAGCAUCCUGAACCUCGACGGGAACAGACUCCGAUUGAGAAGGAGCAUCCUGAACGUCGACGGUAACAGUCUCCAGUUGAGGAGAAGAAUUUUGCUGUGCGUUCUUAUCAGAAGACAUUAUCUGCACAAAGAACAUAGAAGUCAGGCCAAGUUAAGGCAAAAGUCGAUCCCAAGAAAAGUCGACCUGGACUUAAGGGGAUCGAAAUUGCAAAAUAAGGGAAGUCGAUCUCAGAAGUCGAUCCCAGAAAAGUCGGCUGUCAGGAGACAAAGGUCUCGAGAAGUCGACUGACAAUAAGUCGAUUCCAGUAAAAAUGGAUCCAACUUUGAAAAGUCGAUGACAAGGCGUCAAACUUCACAAAGUCGGACCACAGUCCAAUGGGGAACAACUUCGAAAGGGACCGACUUUCAGAAAAGUCGGACACCAAGGAAGUCGAACCCAGUGCAGCCUCAGUAGAACCCGACAACAAAAGUCGGACCCCAGAAAACUGCACCUCCAAGGCUAAAGUCGAAGCCUCACGCACGCUGGAAGUCGAAGCGAAGGAACUGGAAGUCGAAGCGAGAAAGUCGAUGCGAAGAAAGUCGAUGCCUCAGAGCGAUGGAAACAAGUGAAGAGGAAGUGAACUCCCCUCCGCUAUUUAUAGGGGAAAGUCGAAUACGAACCGUCGCGGGCACUGUUCAUCCGGGUCGACCCGUUGGGCCGGAAAGCCCACGGGCCCGGCAGACCCACGACGGCCCAAUCCGUGAAAAACCCCAAAACCCAACCAGAGGCCAUCGACAUUUCAAGAAAAUCCAUCGACAUUUCAGAAAAAACCUUCGACAUUCUGCAGAAAAGCAUGUUCGACAUUCCCAAGAAAAGGGGAUAGGCGUCGACAUUUAACAAGGAAGUCGAUACCUUCAAAAGAGAAGGUCAGAAUCGACAUUCCGCAGGUAAGCAUGUUCGACAUUCCCAAGAAAAGGGGAUAGGCGUCGACAUUUAACAAGGAAGACGAUACCUUCAAAAGAGAAGGUCAGGAUCGACAUUCCGCAGGUAAGCAUGUUCGACAUUCCCAGGAAAAGGAGAUAGGCGUCGACAUUUAACAAGGAAGUCGAUACCUUUAAAAGAGAAGGUCAGGAUCGANNNNNNNNNNNNNNNNNNNNNNNNNNNNNNNNNNNNNNNNNNNNNNNNNNNNNNNNNNNNNNNNNNNNNNNNNNNNNNNNNNNNNNNNNNNNNNNNNNNNAAAAAUUCGACACCUUUAGAAAAGGAUCAGCAGUCAUCGACAUCCUCAGGAAAAGGUGGGAUCGACUUUUUUUAGACAACUUCGACAACUCGUGGGAGUCCACAACUCGGACGGGGAUACGACAGCAAAAUGAACUGAACCAUAUAAAGAUAUUUGAACUCCUACUGUUACUGGACGCAGUAACAAAGUAGGACGCCAAAUUAACUCUACCUGCGGAAGAACGCGGAUAGAGAAAGUCUUAAUGGUAACANNNNNNNNNNNNNNNNNNNNNNNNNNNNNNNNNNNNNNNNNNNNNNNNNNNNNNNNNNNNNNNNNNNNNNNNNNNNNNNNNNNNNNNNNNNNNNNNNNNNNNNNNNNNNNNNNNNNNNNNNNNNNNNNNNNNNNNNNNNNNNNNNNNNNNNNNNNNNNNNNNNNNNNNNNNNNNNNNNNNNNNNNNNNNNNNNNNNNNNNCCCCACCUACGGAAGAACGUAGGUUAGACGGGGGAUACGUCGGCUAAACACACACCCCAUUCUACAAAAAUGUAGACAGAGGGGCAAGUACUCAAGAGUAAACCUCACCUACGGAAGAACGUAGGAUUAGACGAGGGACGUGCUCAAGAACAUUCCUCACCCACGGAUGAACGCGGGUAGACGAGGAAACACAAUCAGCCCCUAUCGCGGAAAGGCGAGCAAAAGGAGGGGGCAAGUAUUCAAAUAAUAGUCCUCACCUACGGAUGAACGUAGGUAGACGAGGAAUCACACUUAGCCUCAGUCGCAGAAAGGCGAGCAAAAGGAGGGGGCAAGUAUUCAAAUAAUAGUCCUCACCUACGGAUGAACGUAGGUAAACGAGGAGUCACAAUCAGCCCCUAUCGCGGAAAGGCGAGCAAAAGGAGGGGGCAAGUAUUCAAGUAAUAGUCCUCACCUACGGAUGAACGUAGGUAGACGAGGAAUUACACUUAGCCUCAGUCGCAGAAAGGCGAGCAAAAGGAGGGGGCAAGUAUUCAAAUAAUAGUCCUCACCCACGGAUGAACGCGGGUAGACGAGGAGUCACAAUCAGCCCCUAUCGCGGAAAGGCGAGCAAAAGGAGGGGGCAAGUAUUCAAAUAAUAGUCCUCACCUACGGAUGAACGUAGGUAGACAAGGAAUUACACUUAGCCUCAGUCGCAGAAAGGCGAGCAAAAGGAGGGGGCAAGUAUUCAAAUAAUAGUCCUCACCCACGGAUGAACGCGGGUAGACGAGGAAGUACACUCAGCCCCUAUCGCGGAAAGGCGGAUAAAAGGAGGGGGUCGGGUACUCUCAAAAACCCGCCACAGGGAAGAGAACCCAAGCAGUGCUCAAGGACAGCUCAGGCAAGGCGUCAAGGUGGGCAAGCAGGGUUCCGCGGGAGAAUCGGGCCAGACAGGUGUGCAAGGAGUAGGCUUCGGCUAGGACAAACCGGACAAUAGUUGGCAAAAGCGCGUGACAAACCUCCGUGGAAGCAUAGAUACAACCUCGCAGGCGUGGAGGGGGGGGAGUACUGGUGAGAGAGGAUCGUACAUCCAGGGACAUCACCAGAAAUCCACAUCCCAGCACGCAAAGAGGGGGGGAAUACUGAUAGUACAGGGUCCGACACACAGACCAUAGUACUAAAAGACGUAUCCCAAAGUACCUAGUACGCAGAGGAGGGGGGAGUACUGGUGAUACAGUAUCCCGAACACGGUCACAACCUACCAGCAACUAGAAGUCCGGAUAGCCUAAGAUGAGUUGAGGUAUCUAUUCUAGGGUUAUGGAGGUCCCAGGUCGAAUCCUAGGAUGAUCGACUUUCCUGAGGAUCAACUUCCCUGGGAUCGACUUUUGAGUAAAGUCGAUCACCAGGAAAAGUCGACCCCCAGAAAGUCGAUCUCUGGAAAGUCGACCCCUGGACCCAAUCUGAUCAGUUAGGCAGUUAGGCGGUUACUGCCCAAAUGACCAGAUUGACCCCAUAAGAACCCCUAUAAAUAGAGGGCACCCCCCACUCAUUAAAGGGAGGUCAUUUGGAGAAGAAGGAUUCCUAGCGAAGCAGAGCUCUGCACACUUGAGUUCCGGUCCGGUUUCCCGCGGAGUUCCCCGCUUGGCGCUUGCUUGCGCAUCUUGGAGUACUGGUCGGGUUUCACCCCCAUCACUAAUUAUAAUAUAUCUCUUAAUUAACUAAAUCUAACUAUAAAAAAAAUAUUUUUCUUGGAUUCAAGAUUGCCAUCACUAAUUACCUAUUGUCGAUCGAAAAUAUCAAAGAUUCACAAGAAGAAUAAGGAAGAACUAACAAGAAGGUAGAUCAGAUACCAUCACUAAAGCUCGUCCUGAUCAUUAAUUACUUAAUUAGUAAUUAUACAAUAUUUGACCAUUUAGAAAAUUACUUAAACAUGUUUAAUUUAUUAAAGAUUGUUUAAUCACAACCAUUUAAAUAUUAAUUAAUGGUUUAGGGUAAAAAUCACCUAUUGAUUAAGAAAACCACUAGUGGUAUUGAAAAAAAUUCUUUUAAUGAAAUUAAUUUGAAACCCUAAUAAUUAUAUCUAUGAACAGAUUUAUAAAAAAAACCUUCUUCACAAUAAUAAAAAAAAUCAUUUUAAUGAAAUUUAAAACCCUAAUAAAAUCUAUGAAAGAUCUAUAAAAAAAUCUUUUUCACAAUAAUAAGGAAAAAAUCACUUUCUUUUUAUUGAAAUUUAAAACCCUAAUAAAAUUAAAUCUAUACAUGAACAAUCUAUAAAAAAACCUUCUUCGUGACAAUAAUAACAAAUCGCUUUUUUAAUUAAAUUUAAAACCUUAAUAAUAUCUAUGAACAUAUCUAUAAAAAAACCUAGCUUCUUCGCAAUAAUAAGUAAAAAAAUCUCUUUCUUUUAAUGAAAUUUAAAACCCUAAUUAAUAAUAUAUAUCGAUAAACAGAUCUAUAAAAAAUCUUCUUUAUAAUAAUAAGGAAAAAAUUCACUUUCUUUUUAAUGAUAUUUAAGCCUUGCUAAUAUCUAUGAAUAUUAGAUCUAUAAGAUACUGUUCUUCAAUUCGCGUAAUUAAAAAAUAAAGUUACCAAUUAAGAUUGAAAUUACGAAACAUACAAAAAAAGUUACCAAUUAAUUAAAAACAUCAAAAAAUAAAACAAAGAAAAAAUUGUGAACAUGAAAAUCAAAUCCUGAUCAAUAUACCAUAGAAAGUGGGGGUCGAGCUAGGGGGAGGAGACGAUGCUAGAUAUUCUAACUUACCGGCCUGUUAACUAUAAAUUAGCAUGCGCAUCAUAGCUAGAUUCGCAAGACACGGAAAAAAAACUAGAGAUAUGAUGAGCAUUUUGUAAAUGAAUUAAGUUAUUUAAAAUAAAAUUUACAUAGUUGCAGUCUUGUUGAAGAAAUCUACAAGCAAAUAAUAUUUUAAACAUGCAAAUUUAAAUUUAAUUAAUCGAUGAUCGAUCCACCUAGUGUUUUUGCAAACCUGUAUCCGAAAUUCAAUGGAAUUUUACAAAAAAUACUUAAUAAAUAUUUAUUAUUAAAACUAAUGAGAUAUAAUUUUGUAAAAAUAAACACAAAUUAUUUUGUACUUACAUAUAUAGAUCCUUGAAAAUUUGCAAAAAUAAUCCUAAAAGAAUUAUUUUACUACAAAUUGGUCUUUUAAUCAGCAUGCUAGCUGCUCAUUAGCUUCUCUAGCUGCUGAGUGCUGACCAUUUCAUAAAUGAUUUACAACAAGUCAAAUAAAAAACUCACCAACAGGCAACAACCUUACAUAACCAAGGAUAAACUUGUUCUAUUUAAAUAUAUAUGUCAUUGUAGUUAUUAAUUUUUCUUUUGAAAUUACCAACUGCCACCAAAAAAUAAGAUGAUAUACGUGGAGUGACAACUGAAAACACAUAUCUAAGUAUCUCACCAUUGAUGACAGAGCUGUGGAGAAUUUAACACUUAGUGAUGAUACCCUCGGCCCACUAUAUGUGGCCCAAGGAUAACAACAGUAACUCAGCCCAUGACCCAGACCCAGCAAGGAUCCGACCUGGGUCAAACCUGAACCCGACCCAACUACGAUACAGAUCGACUCCGGGGACCCGACCCGACUGCGGCCUGGGCUUAAGCCCAGAUCAGUAUCUGGCAAACCCGGCCCCAUUAGCAGGAUAAUACUGCUAUUAAUACUGCUCACCUUGGGAACAAGACCAGGUUAAUUUAAUGAGUCUACACUAGAUACUAGAGGGGAGUAAGAGAGAGAGAAAGAGGGAGAGAAAUAGAUCUAGGAUCGACUGUAACGGCCACAUCGUCGGCCUUGCGUUAUCACUUAGUUAUAAUUACAAUAAAUAUAGAGGUUAAUUUAAAGAGAUAUUAGUUUUAGGAUAUUAAUUACAAUUCUAUUAAAAACUAAGAGCAUGGCUCUAGAAUGCAUCAAAAAUUUCAUAAUUAGAAUUAAAACAUCUUUUAACAGAAACAUUAAAACAAUUAGAAGUGAUAAUGGAGAUGAAUUCACUUCAAACUCUUUUAAACAAAUACUUGCAAAAUAUGGGAUAACUCAUCAAUUAUCCUGUCCUUAUACACCAGAGCAAAAUGUUAUAGUGGAAAAGAAACAUAGGCACCUCCUAGAGGUAGCCAGAUCAUUACACUUCCAAGGGGAGAUCCCACUAAUAUAUUGGGGGAGUUGUAUUUUAACAGCCACACAUCUCAUAAAUAGAAUACCCUCAAAAGCUUUGGGAAGCAAAGCCCCAUAUGAAAUACUAAACAAACAUACACCAGAUUACAGUAUGUUAAAGACCUUUGGUUGUUUGUGUUAUGCUAUAACCAAUAUAAGAGAGCACAAAUUUUCAGCAAGAACCUUCAAAUGUGUUUUUAUGGGAUACCCACCCAUUAUCAAGGGAUAUUCAGUACUAGAUAUGCAAAACAAGAAGUUUUAUAUAUCUAGAAAUGUAAUAUUUAGAGAAAAUAUUUUUCCCUUUAAAACCAAUAAUGCUGAAAACAAACAGAUCCAAAAUCAAAGCAUAAAAGACUUUGGAGCUUUUUACAGGCAAGUUAUAAAUCAACAUGAUAACUGUGAAGAUGAAAACAUUAACAAAAAUAAGAAAACACUUAGCUCUGAGGAAGAGGCUGUUUUAAAAACACUGGAAUCUCCAAUAUCUGAAAAAAUUAAGAUAUUAGAUUCCAACCAUAAAAGGUCAGAUAUACCUGAUCAAAACAAAGAAAAAACCCAUGAAUACUCAGAUCCUAAGCAUAAAAAUAAUACAAUUCAAAAUCAAAGAAAAAUAGAUAAAACAGAACAAAAUAGUUCAAUGCAGUCCAGAACAUGUAAAACAAGUUCAGACAGUGAAGAACCAUUAGAAAUAACUGAUAACACUCAGCCUAAUGGAAAACUUCACCAAAAUGAACAAAACACACACAAAAAUGGAUUUAAAAAUAAAACUACCAAAAGAAAGAUUGAGAAUUGUGAAAAUGAUUCUCAAACCUCAAAUACACCCAAAAUAGACUCAGGAUCAAGCAACAAACAAAGUAAAAAUAAAAUUCAGAACCAAGAAGAAGGUUCUAAGCAAAACAGUGAAGAAAAUACCUUGGACACCAGUCCAAGACAGAAACAAAAACAAAAUGAAGGAGGUUAUGAACUGAAUCAUACAUCAGAAAAUCUAAAUCAGCCAACAAGAUCUGUACUAAAUAAAGAAAAAAUUACAGAAAUUGAGAACUCAUAUCAGCAUGACACUGACUUGAAUGAAAACAGGCCAGAAAACUCAAACAGAAAGGAAAAAAUAUCAACGGCCCCAAUAAACACUAAAACUAGUUUAUAUGGAAGAAAAAUAAUAAAACCAAAGCAAUUUCAAGAUUUUUAUCUUGAAAAUGAAAAAGACUAUCAUGAAUCAAAAUACCCGAUGAGCAACCAUGUAUCUUAUUAUAAAGUUAGUAAACAACAAAAACAAUAUUUAAAACAAAUAACAAUACACAAUGAACCAAACUCUUUUGAUGAAGCUUCAAAAGAUCCAAAUUGGGUUGAAGCAAUGCAAAAAGAGAUGAAUGCCCUUAUUGAAAACAAUACAUGGACAUUAACUAAUCUUCCGAAACAUUGAAAAUCCAUAGGUUCAAAAUGGAUCUAUAAAAUAUCAACCAAAUGGCCAAAUAGAGAGAUAUAAAGCUAGACUAGUGGCAAAAGGUUUCACACAAAAAGAAGGUUUUAUUUUUUUUGAAACCUUUACACCAGUAGUUAAAAUAAUCACCAUAAAGAUAAUAAUAGUUGUGGCAGCCAUGAAAGGAUGGAAUUUAUAUCAAAUAGAUGUAAAUAAUACUUUUCUUCAUGGUGAAUUACAUGAAAAAGUUUAUUUGAGACCACCACAAGGUCUCUUAAAAGAAAGAGAUAAAAGGGUAUGUAAGCUAAACAAAUCACUCUAUGGGUUGAAACAAGCCUCAAGGAACAGGUUUGAGAAAUUAAGAGGGGUUCUAAUAGAGAUUGGUUUUAUCCAAGACAAAUCUGAUUAUUCUCUUUUUAUAAGAGAGAAAAACCAAAAUAUGAUGUAUCUCAUAGUAUAUGUAGAUGACAUCAUAAUAUCAGGAAGCAAUGAGUUAGAAAUUGGAAUAAUUAAAAUACAAUUAGAAAAACAAUUCAAACUCAAAGAUUUAGGGAGGCUAAACUACUUCUUAGGAAUUGAAGUAUCAUAUUCCAAUAAAGGAACUUACCUCUCACAAAGAAAAUAUACAUUAAAUAUUAUAGAUGAAUGUGGCUUCUCAGGAGCAAAACCAUCUAAAAUCUCAAUGGAGAGGCAUAUAGACCUUAAAAAUGAUAAAACCCCACUUAUUGAAAACCCAACAUUCUAUAGGAAAAUAGUUGGAAAAUUAAUAUAUCUAAAUAUCACCAAGCCAGACCUAAGCUUUCCAGUAAACUGGCUGAGCCAAUUUAUGCAUGAACCAAGAGAAAUACACCUUCAAGUCCUGUUCAAACUAAUUAGGUACAUUAAAAAUGCACCUGGACAGGGACUGGUAUAUAGCAACUCUGGAAACAUGCUCAUUCAAGGCAACUAUAGCAACUCAUUCAAGGCUAUUGUGAUGCUGAUUGGGCAUCUUGCCAGAUUAGUAGAAAAUCUGUAACAAGAUUUUGCAUCAUGAUAGGAGAGUCAUUAGUUUCAUGGAAAUCCAAGAAACAGGUAACAAUUGCUAGAUCAUCAUGUGAGGCAGAAUACAGAGCCAUAGCUCAAACCACAUGUGAAAUAAUUUGGAUUCAUCAAUUAAUGGAUGAAUUAAGGAUUAAAGUAAGGAAACUAAUAGUUCUUUACUGUGAUAACAAGUCUGCCAUAUAUCUAGCAAACAACCCUGUUUUUCAUGAAAGAACUAAACAUAUUGAGAUAGAUUGUCAUUUCAUAAGAGAGAUGAUUAAUCAAGGAAAAGUCUUAAUAAAACAAGUUAGGACAAAAUUCCAACUUGCAGAUUUUUUAACCAAGGCUCUUGGUGAUAAAGAAAUUAAUGCAUCCCACACCAAGCUUGGUAUAUUAAGCAUAUAUUCCAAGGCCUGAGGGGGGGUAAAGGAUUUAAUUGAGCUAAAACGGUAAUCAAAGAAUUAACAGACUGACUGUAAAUUUAAUUAAACUAAACUUAGGACCCAAAUGUAAUUUCUAUUAAGUUCAGUGCUUGUUAAUAGUUUGUUGUUAAGUGUUUACUGUGCAGGUAAUUUACCCAACACUUGAGUUUCGGAUAUAAUAAUGCGCAAUAGUUUCAAUAAAAUCCAAUUAAAGAUAACGAGCCAAUUAUAUACGGGCCGGAGUCAUUGCUUAUAGUGUUGGGCUAAAUAUUAAUAGAGUUAGUUAUGUAAUAUUGUUAGUAAAAUUCUUACAAAGACUAAUUGUAAUUAACUCUUGAAAUAAUUCAAUUACAUUCUACUAAACACAAUCGCACUAACUGUCAUCCUAGACAGUUAACAUUGUAGCCCUAUAUUCUCGUCCUCUUUCUUCUACUGUCUAUGCUAAGUGCAAUCUCCGGUGAUAGCCGGCGCUUAUAGCUUAAAGAAGAUUGCCCAUUUCAGUAGACACAAGUUUAAUAAGUUAUAAUUACAAUAAAUAUAGAGGUUAAUUUAAAGAGAUAUUAGUUUUAGGGUGUGUUUUGAUAUUAUAUCAAAUUUUUUUUUGAAUCAAUUAAAAUUUCAUUAAAAAAAAUAAGGGCAAUACCCAAUUUACAUAGAGUAUAGAAAUAAAAACAGAAGUAAAAAAAAUGAGCAAAAGUUCAUUGACUUUCUCCCAUUAGCUAUGUAGUUUAGUUAUACAGUAACUAAUUUAGAUAACCGAGUAUUACUAAUUUAAUUUCUAGAUGUCUAUUACUAAUUUAAUUUCUAUUUAAAUCCAUCGAAUUUCUUUGUUUAUUUACAUUUCUCUGUUUACAUUUCAAGCGAGACAUGACCUCUGUUUGUUUCAUUGUUUUGCUCAUCAAUUACAAUUAUUUAUUGUUAAAGUUUUCAAAAAAUAUUUAUUAUUGGAACUUUUAUUUGAUUCUAUCACUGUUUUAUUUGAUUCGACAAUCUCAUCACAAAUUGAACAACCUAAUCUUGAUCUGAAAAUUCGUCAAUUUUAUCACAACAAUCUGAUCCCAUUCUCAAAAAUCAAUCUGAACAUGCAACUAUAUAUAUAGAUAAACAUACAACUAGAUAUAUACAUGAACAUACAACGUACGCACUAGUUAUAUACUGAACAUACAACUAGUGAAAUAUAUGAAAAUGCAACUAGUUAUAUACCUGAACAUUCAACUUGUUAUAUAUCUGAAUAUGCAAAGAUUUAAAUACAUGAACAUACAACUAGUUAUAUACUUGAACAUGCAACUGGUUAUAUAUGAACAUUCAACUACAAAAUUAAAAAAACGUGAUGGUGUCUUGGCUCGCGUUAGGGUGCUCACACACGCAACUCUUUAGUAUUGCUCUCACUAAUCAUCGAUCCCCUCUCUGUUGCUCCAAGGGAGGUACUUAUAGUACAUUUCCCUGGGCCCAGAGGGCCCAGUGGUCAUGUUCAGCCCAUGUUCCGUCUGGACGGGCCUUGGUACCAACGAAACGUAAGAAACUUACAUUUCUUUUUCGGAUUUACAGAAUCUGUAGUUCUUUUUGGAGGCAUUGCAAAACACGAAGGUAAAAAAUCGAUAACUUAUUGACACUUGACAGAGAAAAAAAUCGUGGACGGGAGUCGUCACAAAAGAAAAUAACAAAGAAAAACGUCAGAGAAGAACAACCACAAAACCACAUCUCUGAAAUGUCGGAGAAACGCGACUAAAAAAAGAAACGACUAACAUAGAGGGAGAGCGUGAAGAAUCACUGAAAAGUUUGAAGAUUCGAUCAAAAAUGGUAGAAAGAUAAGAAUGAACAAGGCGAAGUGAUGAAAUUGAAACCCGAUAUAAGAACAACGCUUAAAAAUUUAAAUAAAAAAAUUAAUAAUCAUUGAUAUUUAAAUCAAUGGUAGAUCUAACAACCUCAUUUCUAACUAAAAUACAAUUAACUUAACAUCAUUAAUAUUUUUAUAGGUUUAAAUCAACCACUAACAUAACUUGCACCAUUAUGCUUGUUUGUUGAAUCUAGUGAUAAUGUUUUCAACAAAAGUUUUGAAAUUAGUAAAAGAAAAUGGCACUGAGGAUAUUCAAAUUAAUGACCAAUAUGAGGAAAUCGCAGUUGUGAAUAGGGUUAGCAAAUAAAGAGAUUAAUGAAUAGAAUGUUAGAGCAGAUUGAACGAUAUUGAAACACACAGAUAGUCACCGACGGUGAAGGCGACGCACGAUUUGGGAACAAGGGUUUCUCUGUUUUGUAUUAAUAAAAUGAUAAUAGAAAAAGUUAAGUUACAAAUGAAGUGUAUUAACCUAUAUAUAUUGUUCACUAAUUACCUACUCACUAAACCCAUUUUGGCCCACUUGAUAUAAAGUUGAAAUUCAGCUUUUAACCAUUUCAUCUGAAUUGUUUUCCCUUCAUCUUACAUAAUCUCGAGGUGUAUUAUUUUUUUUAAAUGUAAGACCAAGAUUUCAUAGACAUUUUUGGACUUAUUGAAGAUGAGUUUCCAUGAAAUUUCUUCUAUAAAAUAAUAUUAAUUAUUAAUAAAGUGUAUCAAUUACCAAACAAGGAUCUGACCCGAUCGGGCUUUAGGACGACCGGACCCUAACCGAAAAAUGACCGAAUUAUUAGGUCACCAGGUCGGGUUUAAAUUUUAGAGUCAGAAAAUUACACAUGACCCGACCCUAACAACCAGGUCCAGGUCGGAUCACAGGUCGUUAGAGGCCCAUUCUCACCCUUAUUAAAUAUUGUCUAAAACUAAAAAUUCAAAGACCACACAUUUCUAAUCAAUCACUAAUAUCAUCCUUAGAAUGAGAAUGCCAAUUUCAUAUGUUUGUGAUAUUUUUGCCAGGUGAAAUCGUGCAUAUAAUUAAAUUACUGAAUGUAAAAUUUAUCAUGGAAUGAAUACUUCUCUUAUUUCACUUUAUUUUAGCUCUAAACCUGCAAACCUUCUUUCUUACAGAAGAAUACAACAAGACAAAGAGAAAAAUGGCAAAGCAUGAGAAUCAUUCUGAAGAAUGAAAAUACUAGUGAGCCAUGUUUCGGAACAAAGCGAAAAGACGAUGCGGCAAAAUAAAAAAGAAAAGCACGAGUGACUAUGAGUGAGUGGAGGUGUGUGAGUUGAAUUGAAGAAUUUACAUGUGCUUCUUAUUCAUCAAGUUCGACCUGCCUUUUCUUUCCUGUUAGCUAUUUUCAAUUAAAUUAGAUGGCUCGCUUAAAACAUACUUUGGCAACUCGUAUUUUGCACCUGUAAUUAAUUAAAGUUUUUUUUUAUAGUGGUAGAUGAUUAUUUUAAAAAAUGUCGAAUUUAAAAUUGUAAUGGAGUAAAUAUUUAUACCUCUUUCGUCGUAACAAGUCGUCAUGUCAGAACUUGUAACAAUAACACCUGCACUUUCAACUAUGACUUGUGCAAGAGUUAAUUCAGCUUCAGCCGCCGCUUGAAGUGCAUCCCAGAUUUCUGUUAUGAUGGUAUAAAACAAGUGUUCUAAAGACUUUAAUGAGUAUACUCAAAUAUAUAUAGUUCCUUACUUCAUUUGGGGAGAGAGAGAUGGUUAGCUAUCACAUGUACGAAGAUAUUGUUUCUUUAAUGGAAAAAUAAAUCAUAUCGAUACAACUGCAAUGGAAAGAUUUGAAAGAAAAGAAGAAGAAAAUCAUCAAGGACAAUUGUAAUUUUAAUUGAUAUAAUUUUUUUUAAUGAUGGUCUUAAUCACAAUCAAGACAGCUAUAAACCUCAAUGAUAAUAUUUAAUAUCACUGUGUUACGAAAUGUAGUUGUAUCAGAGCAAUUUAAUCUUAAGUACAAUCUUAAGACACCUAAAAACAGCAUUAAAAGUAUAUCUGUGUUGUGAAAUAUAGCUGCAUGACACAAUAAAAUGCAUGCAACAAAGUAAAGGGGUUCUUUGGAAGGACACUACAUUUAAUCUAUAAUUAAUUUUUCAUGCAUUUAUUUAUUUGCUUCAUCAAAGACAAAGACUGACAGAAAGAUCAAGCCAAGGCAUUUAACUUUCGGAAUGCUGAUUUUUUGACCAAUCAUAACAAUCAAAAGGAAGCAAUUUAAAUUGAAAUCCUUUUUAAUAGAAUCUAAAAAUACAAAAUCCAUAAUCUUGGCAAAUCUAGUAAAAAUCCUACUUUUCAUAUUAAAAAAUAAUGUAAACAAAAUCCAUGCUACGAAUGCAAACCUAUGAAUAAAUAAAAAAUUUGUUUUUACUUUUUAUUACUCUAUCACUCACUAUUAAGUAUUAAUUGACAACAUUAGCUAAAUAAGGGCACUGGGGAUGAAAUACUAAAGAUACUAAGAAAGUAUGCAUCUCCUCUUUUGUACCAUCAACUAAGAAUCCUACCUUUUUUUGCUUUAUUCUUAUGAAUUCAUCCAUGGAAACAGAUGACAAUAAUUGAUCCUGGUCAUUCGUGUCUACUACAAAUGUACAAUUCCAUAUCAAUGGAUGUUAACCACAAGAAAUGGUAGUUGUUCAGCAAUUACAUGAUAUAAGAAUGUUAUAUGCAUCCAGUGUCAUAUAUUCAUACACCCAAGAGCCCAUAGAAUUGUUCAGCAAUUAAAGUUAGGGUUAGCAUCCUAAAAAUUAUUCAGUAAUUACAUGAUUCAGUGAAAUUAAAGAUUGGUGGUGGCUAAUCAUUACAACACAAGUGCCUAAGUGGAUUGGACCACAUCUCCCUGAUGUGCAAUUGUAUUUUUGAAAUCAAAGCUGUUUAUUUAAGUAUCUUUUAAAAACUUAGAAACAUGGACAUCCAAUUGUCAAUUGGGUCAUUUAAUGUGAUUUAGUAAUAUUUUUUUGACAUAUCUCGAGUAAUUUUACAAUGGUGCAUGUCGAUGUGUAGUUGUCUUGAGGAUUGAAGUCAAAUUACACUCUACUAUUUGAAAUGGACGGUUGAGAAUGAAAUGAGAUUAAUGAACAGAUAGCAUUUAAGAUCUCUGAUAAUCUUUAGAGUUCUCAUCCGAUAUCAGCCCUCUUUUUAUAAUCUUGAUAACAACUAAGUAUUAACCAAUGCUGUUCUUUAAGAUUUUAAUCAUUUCUUCCACCAAUUAAAUGAAAAAAAUUGGGUUGUUUUUUUAAUUUUUAAACUUUUUUUAAAAUCCAGGAGACUAAAGCUAGGGUUUUUUGUAUACGAUGAAUCCUACUACUAGAAUUACAUUUUGCAAUAGAGAACUAAUUGGUUGAUAAAACACACAAGAAGCAAAAACAAAACAAAACAGAACAGAACCUUUCUGACCACCAUAGUGCGGAGCAGUGUCCCAAAACUCCUCGCGCAUCUGCUGGAGCUGUUGCCGUGUUAUUGGUUGAGUAUGUUUCCAACACUUUGGCUUCUGAAGUUUUUUCGCAUUCGCUGCAGUUCACACGAAAGUAGGAAAGAAAGAAAAAAUGAAAUUAAAAUUAAAAUUUACAACAACAAAAAAAAACAUCUCACAAGAUCGAUUUCGCGAAACAAGUCGGCAAUUGCAUCGAUACAAAUAAACCCUAACUAAAUUCACUUGUAAUCUGAGAUUUGCGACGAAAAGAAAUCAGUAGAAGAAAGAGAAAGAAGAGAAGAAAUACCAGGGCCAUCGCCCUUUGUUUGGGAAGAUCCAAUGCACCCCAUCGUAUUCACCGGCGAUGAGCUCCCCGGAUUCGGCGAGGAUCAAUCGGAAUUCAGGGUUGGAAUUUCCCGGAUCGAUUUUUUUUCCGAAGAUCGAGUGCGGUCGGUUGGGAUUCUUGGGAGAGAGGAAAAAAAGCUAGUGGUGGACUUGGUGGUUCCUUUAUUCUCACUCCCUUUAGCUAAAUUAGCAUAAAUAAUCCAUUUUAGGUAGGGAUUCAACUCGGGUCCGGGUCCGGGUCCGGGUUGACAAUAACAGACACGAUUCGUAAAAAAGCACAACACGUUUAUAAUAAUGUCGGGUUAGUGUCGAAAGUUUUGAUAUGAUUAAUAAUAGUGUCGGUUUAAUGUUUGUCUUUAAAAAAUACGACACACGAUUACACAAAACGUAAAUUGACACAACACGACAUAUAUGAAAUAAUAACAUGAAAAUAUAACAUAAUAUUAUUAGUUAACUAUGUUUAUCGUUUAUAUAAUAUGAGUAAAAUAAUAUUUUUAUCUAAAAUUUUAGGGUUAGGGUUUUAUAUAAAAUAAUAAAAAUAAAAUAAUAACUACUGGUAAAAUAAUAAUUAUAUAAUAGGGAUAAAAUAAUAAAAUGUACUAUAGAUAAUUAUUAUCAAUAAAAUAAUAGUGUCGUGUUCGUGUUAUUUUUUUUUAACACGGAUCGUGUCGAUCGUGGUUCGUGUCAUGUCGUUACACAAAUUGACAGACGUAAAAGAACUCGGUAAGGUCGUCCCAUCCAUAACCCGUCCCGUUCUCACCCUUAUUGGUAAGGGGUUUGGUCUGACGUAUCCAUCAGCUUCAGAGUCUUCAUCAGUGUCAAUCCAGCUUACUUGAUGAACAGUAUCCUUAGAUUUUGGACAGUUAGUCUUGUAUGUCCAGUCUUCUUACAUUUGUAACAGAUUACUUCUUUUUGCUUUUCUGAUUCCAUCCAUAACCCGUCCCGUUCUCACUCUUAUUGGUAAGGGGUAUGGAUCCGCCCGGUCGGGCGAAUACCCGUGAGACGGCUUGGAUCUUUCUCUUUUGUUCACUUCGCUGAGCCUUGUUUCUGGACUCUUGCGUGGGUCUGGGCUGAUAGAUUGGGGGUACCAUCACAUGUAAUAUGCAAUUUGACACAGGGAGAUUAACUUAACUGAUCACUGUAACUAUUAAGAUUGUUGAAGGUUCUAAUCUUGUUGGGUUCUUAAUUUUCACCACGAUUUAACUGUGGUAUAUAUUAUGUGGUUUCGGUAUAUCAUCUGAAAGUAAGUCUUUUUACCUGUAAAAAGUUACCCUUCGUUAUAAAAAAAAAAACAUUUUCUCAAAUUCGAAGUAAAAAAUUUGACACUGUUACCACAAAUAAACACCCACACGAAAUAUUUUUCCGUACACCAUACAUUCCCAAAUCUCAUAAUACCAUCCAUAGGAUAUUCUAUCCAUUCUGUUCCACACAUGACCAUUGGCCGGCCACAAACCUAUAUCUUUAUCUAGAGGUGUCAAUAACAUACACGAUUCGUAAAAGGACGCGACACGAUUUUAACACGAUAUGUUCAUAAUAGUGUCGGGUUAGUGUCUAAAGUUUUAACACGAUUAAUAAUAUUGUCGGUUUAAUGUUUGCUUCUAAAAACACAAUAAGAUUACACGAAACGUAAGUUGACACGACUACAUGAAUCGUGUUGGUUAUUGUCACCCCUAGAUUGUACUGGUGAAACUAUAAUGAAACCCCUAUAGAAACUUAAGAAAAGAAACAGUAAGGUAGAAUUUUACCAUGUUUGAAUAGGGAUAUAAAUCUAAUUUCAUCAUUUAUCAGGGAAUAUCUGAAAAAUGAACUAUAUAGAUACUGCGAGUAUCCGAAAACAACAAUCACCCCACCAUCGUCCUCAUCGACCCCGAUCCGAAAGCCCCAAAUCUUCAGGUGAGAUCUUUCCGUUCUCCGUUUUGGAAUAUCGAUCUUGCAGAGAUAUUAAUUUCUUCCUCUUCAGAUUUCCUACCCGAGGGUGGAGAUGUGGAAGGUUUAUGUUGGCAAUCUGGAAUCUCGAAUCAAGGAGAGGGAGAUCGCCGAUGAGUUUAGGGUUUAUGGAAACGUCAGGAGGUAACGAUGCUUGUUCUCCCACUCCCUCUCUUUGUUGUUGUUGUUUGAAUCUGCUUAACUUUUGAAAAUUUAAAAUCGAAAUUUUCAAAGGAAGAAAGAUGCAAUUUUUUUUCUUCCAUUUAUCUGCUUUUUGUAGUUCUUUUCAUGGUUAUGGUGUAAACAACUAAACCAGCAGAAUUGAUUGUACCGUCUCUUGUAGAAGUGUGACCUGAAUGGAUAAAAUUGAGAAAAAUCUAAAAGUAUUUCUUAAAAACAUGUUUUCUAAUUGUUUCAAAAAAAACUGUUUCCUAAAAAGUAAUUCAUAAAUAGUUGUGCUGCAACAUUGAUUGAUAUGCUAGUCUUUUGGUGCUUACAUAUUUUUCAUUUUUUAUUCAGUGUAUGGGUAGCAAGAAAUCCUCCGGGCUAUGCAUUUGUUGAAUUUGACGACCGUCGGGAUGCAGAAGAUUCUGUUUCUCGAUUAGAUGGUUAGUUGAUCCAUCUUUUGCAAACUGAGUUAGUUUUUCAAUUUAAUAGCAUAGAUGGGUUCAGAAUGCUUUUCUUUAAAGGUUUAUGUUUUUACUACACUUUUGUUUAAGUUUCAAUUCCAACCUUACAAUUUUCCAAAUGUAUGGCAUAUUUGUACCUAUAUCCAUGAAUUUGUUGUCUCCUUAUGUAUAAUUUCUCCGUUCUUUAGAAUUCGGAUUUUGGAGAUUCUUACCUAGCAUCUAGUAUCCUAAGUCUUUUAAAAAAAAUUUGAAAUUGAUUAUAACUAUCUAUCUAUCUAUCAUUUUGAAUUUUUGAAUGAUGAACAUGUUGGAUAAUGUAAGACUUUAUAUCUUUUUUAGUUUUUUAAUAAAUCUUUGUUCAUUUUAAGUGUACUGGAUGUUUCUUGGAACACAAAUGAAAAAAAGACUUAUUCACAGAUUCUUUCUUCUGCUACUGCUUCGAUGCUUGUCAUCAUCAACCUCAUUAUUGGGUCUGUCAUUGUUGCUAUCGAUAUUGCCAUACACUGAGCCACUGAUACGACUUUCACCUUCAUCAUUGUUGCAAUUGCCUUGACCUCUGCCAUUGUUGCCGCUGCUUACCAAUCUGGUACUGCCAGAAUCUUUGCUGCAAUGAACACUGUAGUUUUUAUAACUACUUCUCCCACUCUUACAUUGUCCACAGCCAUUAUUAUAACUCAAACUCUCAUCAUCACUUGUUUGCAACCAUUAGGUUUGGAUAAUGAUUAUCACUGAAUAUAAAAAAAUAUAAUAUGAUUAUAUAGUAUAUACACAUAUCAAUCUUAAUAUGAGCAUAUGAAUAUAUAUUAAAUAAUACGGAUGAUUUAAUGGAAUUUUAUAUACUAUAAUUGAGAAAACAAUAAGAUACUAAUUGAACUUAUAUCAUAUAUGUGAUACCAAAAAUACUUACUGAUUUUCUAUACUUACUCUAGUUAUUUAUAAAAAUAUAAUAAAAAAUACGGCCCUCCUUAAGGAAGCCAGGCGGCCAUUCUAAUCACCUUCAAAACCUUGAUCUGAGUGAAUGAUUUACACUUAUCGCCAAGGUCUGCAAGUGUUAGGAAAACAUUGAAGUUGUCAGAUACCUUCUUCCCAGCAAUUGUAAAUGAAUCAAUGAAUCGUCGAAUACUGCGAUCUAUGGAACAUAUUCAUCAACCUUGCAAGAUCUUUUUCACCUCUAGAAGUUUCUGUAAGAGACUCAGAACUCUCGAGUGUGAUCCAGAGGCAAAUGAAUAUUAAAUUCUAUUCAAUACUUCAAAUGACAUUCCGCAACUUGUUACUUGAGGUAAAAUUUAAGAAAAAAUUGAUGACAGAAACCAUCCGAUGAUCAAAUUGAUCAUGUCUUGUAGCUAGAACACCGUUGUGCGAUGCCUUUUCUUUGAUGAAGUCCAUCAGUUCAUUUGUAUGGAGUAUUUCCGCAAAUAGAGUCCUCUAUGUGAACUAAUUCCCACAAUCUAGAAUUGCACCCUUCGUAUGUUUGAUUGUUGCUGGAUUUGAAGGUUUUGUAACAAGCUUUCCUUCAAAUAAGAUCAGAGAAGCGAAAGAAUAGGAUGAUGACUGGAAAGUGUUUGUUGGAUGUCAACAAACCAUAAUUUGUUGAAUGUCAACAAACCAUAUAAGUGAAAGUAAUGUAUUAGGUGAGAAGAGAAAAAUCCGAUCUCUCAAUUGUUCCAAUAGAUUCUUUACUUCUCUUUCUAUAUAGGUUCAAUAAAUGAAUUGGUUAUUAUCCACUACCAAAUAGAGUGCCAAAAGUAAGCACAUAAAGCAAAAGGAAAGUAGUAAACUAAUUAUAGAAUGAGCUACUAUUAAUCUAAAUUUAAUUCUCGUUAAUAGCUUUUAGUUUUCCAAUAUAUUUUGAUGCAUAAUUCAACCCCAUACUUUUUAUCAUAUUUGGUAUUUUUGUCUUUCUAUCAACAUAUUAGGCAAACAUGGUUGGCGAGUGGAAAUGUCUCGGAAAUCAGUUGGUGGUGUUCGUGGCCGCCCAUCAUAUGGUAGUAGUGAAAGCAAAUGCUACGAAUGUGGUGAUAUUGGUCAUUUUGCUCGUGAAUGUCGGUCUAGACUUUCCAAGCAUUCACGGCGGCGGUCACCAAGCCCUGUCCGUAGAUCAGACAGUUACAGGUACUUCUGAGAUGUAAGAUAACAUUUUUCUAAUUUUCAAAAAUCUAGGAAAAUAGAUCUUUUAAGGUAUUUAAUUGAUUGUUAAAUAGGCAUGGUAACUUGUCCAGAAGUGUGCGUGGAGGUAGUCGAUCUCCUUCUCGCUAUGAUAGAAGAAACUCCUAUAGAGACAGGUAUGAGUUUCUUUUUAAGUUUUAUAAAUUUCAAGAACUAUUUAUAAUUUCAGUUUGUAACUUUGCAUUGUAAGGUUAAUGGAUCUUUGAGUAAAAGCAUGGCAGCAUUAUAGACCUAAAAUCAUAAAAGUUUGUCAUAAAUUAAUUACAACAACGAUCAAGUAAAAAAAUGAUUGAUAUUUAGUUUGGUUUUGAACCCACACAUUGAUUUUGAGUUUGUUUGAGAUUUUGAAACAGAAAGAUUUCUAGAAAAAUUUCAUUGUAGUGGUUUUCUAGGAAUUUGAGAAAAUAUUAUACUCUUGUUUUUUUUGAAGCAGUUAAAUAUUUUCGUUAAUAUUAAUGAAGGACAUUGCCCUGAUUACAGUGGGAAAUAAGCAUAAAAACAGAUAAAAUAUGGUAAAGAGUACAAGAAUCAUUUGACACUUUCCACACAAUCAUACUGUCUAGUGUUGAGUAAUAGGUUAUCUGUCUCCCAUAUUUGUAUCGUACUAGGCCUCAAUGGAUGACAACAACUCUUCUUGAAGCACUCAGGCUUGAAGGAAAGACUUAUGCCAUUUAUGACCUCGUUGAGUACCGUUUCUGGUGGUCUGAGACUACUCUGAGUAAAUGUUGUUGCCAUCUUCUGUUUCUUUUUGGCAACCCACAUGUGGCAACUCAAGGCUCCAAUCAUGUUCCAUAAUAAAACCCCAUAUAAUCUUGUUUGAUGAAAUGCUUGUUAUGCAUUUUUUAUUAAUCGCAUAGCAUAUCAUCAUAUGGUAUGGCAAUAUAGGUAGUUUAAAAAAAAUUAGAAAAUUCUCAGAGUGAAAAUGUGGGAAAGUUGGGAGAAAUUAGUUUAAAAAAAUCAAAUAAUGAAGGGAAGUACCCUGAUAACCUGAUUACAUGGAUAAUACAGAAAAAAUAAAUAAAGAUAAAGAUGUAAACUAGGAAAUGAGCCAAAGGUCCCCAUUGGCACUCUCCAAUUAGCCAUGUAAUGUAGUUAUAUAACUAGAUACACUGUUCAGGUGGUUAGUUCCCAUACUUCUAUAGUAGUCAGUAAAUGUCUCUAAAGAAUGAGAACAACUCUUCUUAUGACAUUCUGGUCUAAAGGAGAAACUAAUAUCCUUAAUUAUGUUUUUUACUUUUCAAGAUGAUGUCAAAAAUUUAUUAAAGAUGGAAUUUUUAGGAAACUCAAAUUACAACUAUAAAUAAUUUUCUAUACCUUUCUUUCCUGUUUGUUUGGAUAAUCUCACAACACAAUCAGACCCUUAGUAUCAAUAAAUAACUAUUUGUCAUCUUUAAAAAUACUUAAUGUACUGUAUUUUUAGCUACUAUCUAAUACUAUUAAUAUAAUAAUAGGGAAAUAUAUAAACUGCUUGAGUAACUAUAGGGUCACACAAAUUGCCCCCUCCAAGCACUCAGAAACAUUAAGUCCUAGAGGCAUCUUACAAGAGAUAAAUCUAGGGAUCUGGGCCAAAAAGCCUCCUAAAUUCUCCAUGUUGUUGUGGAGAAUUAAAGUCAAGAGUCUGAACACUUUAACUAGACUUCAAAGCUGGGGACUCAACAUAAAUACGUCCUGCCCACUAUGUGGAAAUGAGGAAGAAACAUUACAACACCUAUACUUUAACUGCCAUUACACUAGAUCCCUAUUGUUAGAAUCCACUAGCUGCCUUAACAAUGUUGUUUGGACACUUAGUGGGCAAAAUCCCCCAUCUCCCACAAUAGACAUCAGGAUAGGGGAUAUUAUGGAAACAAUACAAAAAUUCACUCACAAGUCCAGUUGCUGGGGGGUACACUGGACUAUGCUAGCAUUCCUUUCCUGGCACAUAUGGUGUGAAAGGAAUAGGAGAUUAAAACAACAUACCCUAAGGCCCCCAUAAAUUGUCAGCAGAGAAAUUAUAAAGGACGUGAGCAUUGCAUAUGAUUCUACAUCCUAUAAGAAACACAAUCUUUCACAGAUUGAAAAACAAGCUAUACGCUCAUGGGAGUCCAACCUCUUGAGGCUUUAGUCCUUGGCCAGUUAGUCAGGGUCAUAGCUGUAUAAGAGAUAGACAAUGUUUUUACAUUUACUGUACUUGCAUUUCCCUAUAUUCUGUAAUCUUGGGCUAUGCCCAACCACUUUUCAGUAAUGAAAAUUAAUUUCUCAAAAAAAAUAAAAAUAUGCUAUCUUUAGUAUUAGAUUUGUUCUUGAACUAUAAGUUCUUGGAGUAUACAGAUAUGAGGUGUUUUUUACUUUCUUGGAUGGAAAUUCCCACAAAAAGCCUAAUCGAUUGAGCUUUAUGGUUUUAAUUCUUGGGAAUGUAAUUCCAUGAAGCAAAAGACUCUCAUAGACUCAUACUAUGACUAUUUAAUGCCAUAGUCCCAGCCAUAUAAGGAAGAGGAUAAUAAGUUCGCUUAUCUCGGUGAUCUUUGUAACUCAUCAUUUACUCAAUUUAUUUUAUAAAGAAAACUAUCUAAUAUCUAUGAAUAAAAGCACAUAUUAGAAUUUCAAAGAAAAUUUUAUUUAACUACUGCUUUUUGUACAUAUUUAUUAACUGUUAUUUAGAUUCAAAUCCAUUAUCCAUCAAUAUUACUAAGAAGAUUGAUGUUACUUUUAGACUUUAUGAUUUUAUGUUAUUUACUUUUAGCCUAUACUUUUAAGCCUUUGCUAUACAUUAAACCUGGAAAUUCAUUUGUUUAGCAUGUAUCUCCAAAAUAACUUUGUUGUAUAGUUUUUAAGGUGCCCAACAAUAGUUAGGCAUUUGGAUUCCCAUGCAUAGCUGAAUCUAGGUAGUAUUUAAUAAUUUUCUAUAGAAAACUGAGUCUGUUUUGUGAUUUUUAAGAUGCCCUCCCAUUUCUAGGUAUUUUGAAAUUUGGAUAUCUAAAUCUUGUCCAGAUCUGGGUAGAGAUCAUCUGGAUUUCAGGGGAAAAUACCUUUUUCCUUUGUUUUCUUUUUUUCACUCUUCUUCCGGUGACCACUGACGCACCUCUCUCUACUAGAAGUCCGCUGGAUUCCAGCCAAUUUCUGGGGAUUCUAGGUUUUUUUUAAAUUUUCUUUAGGCUUAAUUAACAGUAAUAAUGUAUUUUAAGUAUUGAAUUUAAUAUACUUUUUUAUAACUAUUUAAUAUAACUAUUUUAAUAUAACUAUUCUGGGAAUGUUUCUUUAAAUUUAAUAUAACUAAUUUUUAUAGGAGAAGAUCGAUGAGGUGGGAAACCACUCUAUCCCUCCCUCUCACUUUAUUUUAUUUCACCCUUCAUUAUUAAUGAAAAAAAUUUAUUGUUUACAAAAAAAAUGUAAGUGUAAAAUUGAAAGAAAUAUAGGUGUUUUAAAAUUUUAAAAUAUUAAGGAUUCGAGCUUGUCCUUCAAGCGAGAGAUCUACAAAAAGGGAGAGCAAAGCAGUAGAAAUACCAAACUUUUUCAUGCGAAGGCGUCGCAUAGGCGACCAUGCACUCCAGCACAUGUAGGCGUUUGCCUUCAUGUGCUGGAGCGGGUUGGCGGAUCCGGGUCGGGUCCGCCCAGAUCUGCCUAACCCAAUAGGUCUGUUUUAUUUUUAACUUUUUUUUUAAAAUUUAAAUAUAAGGCCCAACCACCCAUUUAAGGCCCAUUUAAAUAUAAGUCAUUUAAAUAAGAGGUUGAGGGUUUUAAAAAACCCUAACCUCUUUUCUUUCUUGUUUCUUGCACCUUUCUAACCCUAAAUUCAUAGAAGUCUUAUAAUCUAUGUAUUUACAUUUUAAAUUUUAGAUUAAUAGUCUAUUACUUUGUAUUAGUAAUUUCAGGUUUUAAAAUUGAUGUAUAUAUUUUUUUAAAUGUUUCUGAAUUUANN